RNAcentral lists this ribosomal RNA (400 nucleotides) under uncultured bacterium. RNAcentral describes it as "bacterial SSU rRNA". It matches the Rfam family "Bacterial small subunit ribosomal RNA", at positions 355 to 748 of the family's 1533-position model. The record is from RNAcentral.
UUUCGAAUCAUUCACAAUGGGCGAAAGCCUGAUGGUGCGACGCCGCGUGAGGGAUGAAGGUCUUCGGAUUGUAAACCUCUGUCACUGGGGAGAAAACGCUUUGAGUUAAUAGUUCAAAGCCUGAUUUAACCCGGAGAGGAAGCAGUGGCUAACUCUGUGCCAGCAGCCGCGGUAAUACAGAGACUGCAAGCGUUAUUCGGAUUCACUGGGCGUAAAGGGUGCGCAGGCGGCCGUGUGUGUAAGGUGUGAAAUCCCGGGGCUCAACCCCGGAACUGCGCCUUAAACUACAUGGCUAGAGUAUUGGAGAGGGUAGUGGAAUUCACGGUGUAGCAGUGAAAUGCGUAGAUAUCGUGAGGAACACCAGAGGCGAAGGCGACUACCUGGACAAUUACUGACGCUC